CUCUCUGGUAUCAAUUAUAAAGUCACUGUGGAGGCCAACGUAUCCCUGAGUGGGUCAGGCUCAAUAGUGCGGUUGAGGAAAGAGAGGGAGAGAGGCAGAGGAUUAGAAGGAGGGUGGGGUCAUUUAGGUGGACCUGUAUCUAAGCGUUACACCUUCAGACUCCUUCAGCCUGUCUGGCCUCAGUACCAUGAGAAACCAGUCAGACUCAUGAUCCAGGCUGCCCCCAGCCCUCUCGUUCUCUCUGUUCCACUUCACUCCCCGGUGACAGAUGGAAUGGGGUUGGUGGACUGAGAGACCAUUAUCCCCAGUUACCAUUUACCCAGCAACAGGAUCAACAUAUGACCCAUAUCUCCCGACAAUGCUCCAUGCCACACAGCCAAGUCAAUCAAGGUGUGGAUGAAGGACCACCAGAUCAAGACCCUGUCAUGGCCCGCCCAAUCUCCAGACCUGAACCCCAUUGAAAACCUCUGGAAUGUGAUCAAGAUGGAUGGUCACAACCAUCAAACAAAGCAGAGCUGAUUUAUUUUUUUGUGCCAGGAGUGGCAUAAAGUCACCCAACAUCAAUGUGAAAGACUGGUGGAGAGCAUGCCAAGAUGCAUGAAAGCUGUGAUUGAAAAUCUGAGUUAUUCCAUCAAAUAUUGAUUUCUGAACUCUUCCUAAGUUAAAACAUUGAGUAUUGUGUUUAAAAAUGAAUAUGAACUUAUUUUCUUUGCAUUAUUCGAGGUCUGACAACACUGCAUCUUUUUUGUUAUUUUGACCAGCUGUCAUUUUCUGCAAAUAAAUGCUCUAAAUGACAAUAUUUUUAUUUGGAAUUUGGGAGAUAUUUUGUCAGUAAUUUAUAGAAUGAAACAAAAAUGUUAAUUUUUCCCUAACACAUACAUAUAAAUAGUAAAACCAGAAAAACUGACAAAUUUGCAGUGGUCUCUUAAUUUUUUUCAGAGCUGUAUAUAUGUGCGUCAUGCACAGCAUGACUAUUGACAGUGUAAAAUCAAUCUAACCCUUUUAUUGCAUACACAUCUGAGGUUCCUUAGAAUAAAACAGCAUAUCCAAUUC
This 1053-nucleotide long non-coding RNA is filed under the name Salmo salar (Atlantic salmon). RNAcentral describes it as "lncRNA (ENSSSAG00000111413.1)". Lineage: Eukaryota; Metazoa; Chordata; Actinopteri; Salmoniformes; Salmonidae. The record is from RNAcentral.